UUAAAAAUCAAUGCAUUAACCAUUUUUAUUUCACCAUUUUGAGGAAAACAUGGCUGUACAUGAACAAUACUCAGUUAUUCAGAUACCUGAAUACAGCUACAGAUAAGGGAGGCAUACAGCUGACAUGUUCGGGGGAGGUGAAGGAAAGACCCUCUCUUGGCUUUGCGUCUAGUUCGGGCAGAGCUCGGCACUCUGAGCCCUUAGCCUCACAGUCACACAAACCUGGGACUUGUGCUGCAGCCGAUCUUCUACCCUGGACCGAGUUCAAAGCCUACACAGGCACAUAAAAAUCUAUUUCUUGCACAGCACAGCACGUUGGCGUUUGCUAAAAUUGACUUUCUCAACAAAUGUUGCAGUGGUAUAAUCAAUCAGUCAAUGAGAAACAAUGAAACACUGAAAUUAAAAUAAAAAGUAAAAUUUCAAGUAGACAUGACAGAAAUCAACUGUGAAGGAUAAUUUGCUAUUCUCCUAGGAAAGCUUCGAUAUGUACAGUACAGAGCUGUAGUGAUUUCUGUAGCAGCCUACCUGAUGUGAAAUCAUUGUGUUGCCAGAAGGAGUGAGGCAAUGCUUGCUUGCAAAUAAGAUUGGCACUUUUACUGCAAGGUUAAAUAGUGUAUGCUCUCUAACACAUACAGCCUACAGCAAAUUUAAGUUUCUGGAGUGAUGGCUUUGCUUCAUAAAUAAAAUGCUGCUCUGCUACAAUAAUUAUUCUCAAUCAUCAUAAAAAUGCAUUGAAGUCAUAGCACAGUGAAAACAAAACAUUUGCCUGCUGCACACAGGGAUUUGGGGUGCAGAUGGACUGAGAACCAUUUUGAAAGUUGUAUCUUGCCAUUAGUUUGAAAAUGCAACAUUGCGUCCCUUCUCAUGCAAAAUGCACUUUAUUUGUUUUGUGAUGGUUGCGACGAGCAGCGAGCUGCAGCAUUUGGAGAGUAGGAGCCUUUAUAGUCUUCAGAGAGUCCUGAUGUAAUAUGUGGAGUUCUGGAUGUUGGAUUCUGGGAGGUUGAACGGAAAACAGCCAUCUGUGUUAUUCC
Amphiprion ocellaris (clown anemonefish) is the source of this 1031-nucleotide long non-coding RNA. The record is from Ensembl. Lineage: Eukaryota; Metazoa; Chordata; Actinopteri; Pomacentridae.